RNAcentral lists this small RNA (397 nucleotides) under Pongo abelii (Sumatran orangutan). Its description in RNAcentral is "retained intron". The record is from RNAcentral. Lineage: Eukaryota; Metazoa; Chordata; Mammalia; Primates; Hominidae.
CUUUUUCUACUCUGGUGUGAUGGGACAGAGAUCUGAAACUGAGAACAAAUGGAGUUAUACUGAGACUUGAGUCUCCAUGUUUAGAGCAGGCCACAUAGUAGAGUUAUUGGGGUGUGAGCAUGAAGCUAAACUAGAUGGCAGACUGAGGAGCUAAUCCCUCUCUGCUCCUCCCUUUGCCUGGACCCCUCCCCUGGCCUGCAGGCCUGAUCUGUCCUUUGGAAUUUUCCUUCGCAGAAGCCUCAGUGUAAAGUCUGCCGAUCAUGCCCUGUGGUGCAGUCGAGCCAGCACCUGUUUCUGGACCUGCCUAAGCUGGAGAAGCGACUGGAGGAGUGGUUGGGGAGGACAUUGCCUGGCAGUGACUGGACACCCAAUGCCCGGUUUAUCAUCCGUUCUUGGC